ACACUUUUGAUAAUAUAUUGAUGUAAUAGCACGGCUGGAGAGCCGGAGAGGUGUUAGUCAAAAUAUUUCAUCUCUCUCAGUCUCAGUCUCUCUCUGGUAGGCCAUAAAAGAGUAAGAUUCUUCUCUCCACGGAUAUGGCCGACCAGUUAUUGGAUAAAUGAUAGCACGUGCAACUAGCUUGAUGGGAAGAAUGAAAGUGGCAGAGAUAAGAGUGAAAACAAGACACUACUAUUAUUGAGAGAAAGAAAGAAAGAUACAUUUCAGACCAGAUCAGUAGGGUUAGUAAACUAUAGCUUAGUUCUACCUCGCUCACUCUCAAGACGCUUCUCGCCACUCCUUAAAUAAAACCCAGACGCCUUGUUCAAUAUAUACAAUCCAAACAGUCUGAUCUCUCUCUCUCUCUCUCUCUCUCUCUCUCAAUCUCUCUCUCUCUCUGAACAAUUCACAAGCGGUUUAAAUCAUGAGCCAGAACGAGGGAGGAGCGGCGGUACCAGCGACGAAGAAAAGGCUACAAUGCAAAGGUUUGGGAAAGUUUGUGAAACAAGAAAGAGCAAGGAUCUACAUUAUUAGAACAUGUGUUGUUACAUUACUUUGUUGGCGUGACUGACUAGUUUCAUUGCUUAAUCUUUUAUUUAUUUACAUGUAGACGUUCAUCACUAUUUGUAUUUUCUAGUUAAGAUUAUAAAGUGUGUAUCUUUUUAAUUAGUUCACUCCUCACUUGAUCUGCUAGUUAAGUUCGCACUUUUUUUGUUAGAAAAUAUAUAAAUCUUUCUCUUAAA
This 779-nucleotide long non-coding RNA is filed under the name Daucus carota (carrot). Its description in RNAcentral is "long non-coding RNA (DCAR_LNC001483)". The record is from RNAcentral. Lineage: Eukaryota; Viridiplantae; Streptophyta; Magnoliopsida; Apiales; Apiaceae.